RNAcentral lists this ribosomal RNA (491 nucleotides) under uncultured bacterium. RNAcentral's name for it is "partial 16S ribosomal RNA". It matches the Rfam family "Bacterial small subunit ribosomal RNA", at positions 28 to 507 of the family's 1533-position model. The record is from RNAcentral.
GAUGAACGCUAGCUACAGGCUUAACACAUGCAAGUCGCGGGGCAGCAUGGGGGUUGCUUGCAACCCCUGAUGGCGACCGGCGCACGGGUGAGUAACGCGUAUCCAACCUGCCCUUCACCACGGGAUAACCCGGCGAAAGUCGGACUAAUACCGUAUGUUGUCCAUUGACGGCAUCCGAUUUGGACGAAAGUCUUGGCUGUGAAAGGAUGGGGAUGCGUCCGCUUUGCUUGACGUCGGGGUAACGGCCCACCGUGGCUACGAUCGGUAGGGGUUCUGAGAGGAAGGUCCCCCACACUGGAACUGAGACACGGACCAGACUCCUACGGGAGGCAGCAGUGAGGAAUAUUGGUCAAUGGGCGUAAGCCUGAACCAGCCAAGUAGCGUGCAGGAUGACGGCCCUAUGGGUUGUAAACUGCUUUUAUGCGGGGAUAAAGUGGCCCACGUGUGGGCUUUUGCAGGUACCGCAUGAAUAAGGACCGGCUAAUUCCGUG